UUCAUGGAGAGUUUGAUCCUGGCUCAGGACGAACGCUGGCGGCGUGCUUAACACAUGCAAGUCGAACGAUGAAGCCC
This 77-nucleotide ribosomal RNA is filed under the name Streptomyces sp. ISL-86. RNAcentral describes it as "Bacterial small subunit ribosomal RNA". It matches the Rfam family "Bacterial small subunit ribosomal RNA", at positions 1 to 77 of the family's 1533-position model. Lineage: Bacteria; Bacillati; Actinomycetota; Actinomycetes; Kitasatosporales; Streptomycetaceae. The record is from Rfam by way of RNAcentral.